RNAcentral lists this ribosomal RNA (229 nucleotides) under uncultured bacterium. RNAcentral's name for it is "partial 16S ribosomal RNA". It matches the Rfam family "Bacterial small subunit ribosomal RNA", at positions 116 to 334 of the family's 1533-position model. The record is from RNAcentral.
CGUGAGCGACCUGCCGUACCUGUGGGGGAUAGCCGGCCCAACGGCCGGGUAAUACCGCAUACGAUUGCUUUGGGGCAUCCUGGGGCAAGGAAAGCUGGGGGCAACCCUGGCGCAGGACGAGGGGCUCGCGGCCUAUCAGCUAGUUGGCGAGGUAACGGCUCACCAAGGCAGUGACGGGUAGCUGGUCUGAGAGGGCACACGGCCACACUGGCACUGAAACACGGGCCAG